GAUGAACGCUGGCGGCGUGCCUAAUACAUGCAAGUCGAGCGAACAGAUGAGGAGCUUGCUCCUCUGACGUUAGCGGCGGACGGGUGAGUAACACGUGGAUAACCUACCUAUAAGACUGGGAUAACUUCGGGAAACCGGAGCUAAUACCGGAUAAUAUAUUGAACCGCAUGGUUCAAUAGUUAAAGACGGUUUUGCUGUCACUUAUAGAUGGAUCCGCGCCGCAUUAGCUAGUUGGUAAGGUAACGGCUUACCAAGGCAACGAUGCGUAGCCGACCUGAGAGGGUGAUCGGCCACACUGGAACUGAGACACGGUCCAGACUCCUACGGGAGGCAGCAGUAGGGAAUCUUCCGAAAUGGGCGAAAGCUUGACGGAGCAACGCCGCGUGAGUGAUGAAGGUCUUCGGAUCGUAAAACUCUGUUAUUAGGGAAGAACAAAUGUGUAAGUAACUAUGCACGUCUUGACGGUACCUAAUCAGAAAGCCACGGCUAACUACGUG
RNAcentral lists this ribosomal RNA (497 nucleotides) under uncultured bacterium. Its description in RNAcentral is "partial 16S ribosomal RNA". It matches the Rfam family "Bacterial small subunit ribosomal RNA", at positions 28 to 507 of the family's 1533-position model. The record is from RNAcentral.